Cajanus cajan (pigeon pea) is the source of this 100-nucleotide non-coding RNA. NCBI's taxonomy places the organism in Eukaryota, Viridiplantae, Streptophyta, Magnoliopsida, Fabales, Fabaceae. The record is from Rfam.
UUUGUGGUCGAUGAUGAUGAAAUCUAAUCCCAGCUCUAUGAGACCUUCACCAUUGCAAGGUCUGUGAUUAGAUGUCUACGACAUUUCUCUGAGCCACAUU